AGAUUGGUGAAGCCCGAGACCUAAGUUAUGGUUAACUUGAGAAGCGACAAGUCCCAGAUUAUUUUGCAGGUAAAAGUAUUCAGCUAGGAUGGUUGGCUAUCAGCUGGGAUUGGCAAACUCCAUUUUCUUCCUGGAGCAGUGCCGAGUCAUUAUGGUUAUCAUGUGUGUGUACGGGUAUGUCGGGGCCCGUCCCGAUUCAUAUGAUUCAAGUGUUUACUCUUAGAGACUUUGCAGACAGUGUCCUGUGGUUAGUAUGUUGAGAUGUCAUGUGUUGAGUAAAGCGACCAUGUAGGCCGAUAUGUCAGUUUGACUUAUUCGAUUUUUGAUUAA
Lycium ferocissimum is the source of this 330-nucleotide long non-coding RNA. RefSeq lists it as uncharacterized. NCBI's taxonomy places the organism in Eukaryota, Viridiplantae, Streptophyta, Magnoliopsida, Solanales, Solanaceae. The record is from RefSeq and is a predicted model, not a curated record. The transcript is spliced from 2 exons.